AUAAAUGUCAUCCUUUUUUUAAACUCUGUUCAUCAAAAUCAAAACCUUAGUUCUUGUGUUGUUAUUUUUUUAACCAAUAAAAAGAUUACAACAAAAUGGAUAUUUUUUUUAACAUGUUUCAAUUUUUUACAUUACAUAUCAAAUGAAUGAUUUUUUAUAAAGUUGAAAGAAGAUUUAGUGAAUUCAACUGAUGUAAUUUAACUGAUGUAAUUCUCUUGUGUAAUAAAUUUGUUCAUUCAUAUGUUUUAUCUGAAGUUGAAUUGUAUGAUGAAUGUCAUAAACUUUAUGUAUCUAAUCAUUAGAAAGUGAAUUAGAACAUAGACAUAUAUAAGGCAACCAAGAGAAUUUGUUCUAGGAAUAGUUUCAAUCUCUUGAUCAUUCUUAAUAUUAAUAUCUGAAUUUAAUACAAAUUAUAUAUUAAAUGAAUAAGGAAUUAGUAAUUUGACAUAUAAGUUUAGAACUAGUUCUUAAGGAAUCAGGAUUAGUAUACAUUGAUGUGAAUGUUUGAAUGAAAGAGUGAUAAAUUGUAUAGAGUAUUAUUAUUAUUUGAUUCAUAAAUUCCAAUUCUAAUGAAGUUUCAUCUUAACUUUAAUCAUAAUUUCUAAAUUAUUGUUAUUACAAUUUGUUUCCUUACUUAUGAAUUGAAUCAUUGCUUUUAUCCAUAUUGGAAUUUAUAAAUAUU
This 682-nucleotide long non-coding RNA is filed under the name Vigna radiata. Its description in RNAcentral is "long non-coding RNA (VRAD_LNC003417)". Lineage: Eukaryota; Viridiplantae; Streptophyta; Magnoliopsida; Fabales; Fabaceae. The record is from RNAcentral.